GUUGUUUGCAUUUUGUUAAUGCCUAUUCUAAGUAUCGAUCUGAUUCCGAGGAUAUUCAGACAUUUUUUUUUAAACUUUUCAAUGUUAUACAAAUUCAACAUGGUUUCACUAAAUCCAGAGAAUAGUUGAUUGCGUAGACCGCUGUAAAAUUGGCAUUCAACCAGAAAGUGUUAUUCAUAUUCAAUCUCCGGUGCAGAGAUCAUAUCCGUUCUGUUCAAUAUAUGGAAGUGUUUAACGACCUUGACUGGCUUUUAAGCCCUCACACGGUCGGUUUCCGUUCAAUACUUUGUAACACUACACUCAAUAUUAAAAAGGCACGGUAGUAUUUCCUGGCCC
RNAcentral lists this long non-coding RNA (336 nucleotides) under Mytilus galloprovincialis (Mediterranean mussel). Lineage: Eukaryota; Metazoa; Mollusca; Bivalvia; Mytilida; Mytilidae. The record is from RNAcentral.